RNAcentral lists this ribosomal RNA (493 nucleotides) under Xyloskenea sp. Solomon. Its description in RNAcentral is "partial 16S rRNA". It matches the Rfam family "Bacterial large subunit ribosomal RNA", at positions 1817 to 2577 of the family's 2925-position model. Lineage: Eukaryota; Metazoa; Mollusca; Gastropoda; Trochida; Turbinidae. The record is from RNAcentral.
GGCCCCUCGAAAAAUAAAGUUAUGGGGGGUCUGACCUGCCCGGUGACUAUAGGUUAAACGGCCGCGGUACCCUGACCGUGCAAAGGUAGCAUAAUCAUUUGCCUUUUAAUUGAGGGCUAGUAUGAAAGGUUUGACGAGAACUGAGCUGUCUCUUUAGAUAAUAUUAAAAAAUUAACAUUUAGGUGAAGAGGCCUAAAUUUGACUAAGGGACAAGAAGACCCUAUUGAGCUUUAGUUGUCUUUUAGGUGAAAAAAUAGUAAUUUAAAUGUUUUACCUAAAGAAAAUCUUUAAUUGGGGCGAUUUAGGAAUCUAAGAAACUUCCUAUUAUUUGUUAAUGCUAACAUGUGUAGAUCCAGUAUUACUGACUAGGGGAAUAAGUUACCAUAGGGAUAACAGCGUAAUCUUCUUGGAGAGCUCUAAUCGAAAAGUGGGUUUGCGACCUCGAUGUUGGACUAAGGUGUCCUAAGGGUGUAGAAAUUCUUGAGGGUUAGUC